RNAcentral lists this non-coding RNA (45 nucleotides) under Schistosoma mansoni. Lineage: Eukaryota; Metazoa; Platyhelminthes; Trematoda; Strigeidida; Schistosomatidae. The record is from RNAcentral.
AUCCAACUGACGAGUCCCAAAUAUGACGAAACUCGAGUCUUGAAU